CUUGACACAGGGUCAUUUUGACAUGACCUAAAUAUCAAGCCAGUAAGUUGUCAGUGUGUAUUGUGAUGCCUUAGCAUGCUGCAGGGAGAUGGGGAGGGGGUGACGGGACAUGUGCAGUAGCAUCAAGGAUGGAGGAGGCUCAGGACUAAGACACAGAAUGAGGAGAAGGUCAGAAAUAGUAAAGGGUCAGGGAUACCAUGGUUGCACUCAGUACUGCACUGUAAGAAAAAUGGACACGUUCAAAUUGUGGACUUGCCCUGGGCUGGACUGCUGGGAAUACACUUGGCAGUGACUGUGUCAGUGGUGCUGUUGAGGCAAAGGGGAAGCAGUGAUAAAAGUAGCUGGAUGGAGCGUGAAGUUGCAUACGGUUGCUGAAAAAGGUACCAACAGAGGUGAGGGAUAAACGGUGGGUCUCAUGGGGGAAAAGAAGGGUUAAAUCACAUCACAUCUAGAUCUGGAAUUUCUCCACUUUUUUCCAGGAACCUCUGGAUUGAUUAAAUGGCAAAUUCUGGCAACCCAGUCCUGGCGCUGUCAUUUCUCCCAUUCUGCCGCAUGCUUCUACACACACGUACAUACACAGAGACUCUCCA
RNAcentral lists this long non-coding RNA (590 nucleotides) under Vulpes vulpes (red fox). RNAcentral describes it as "lncRNA (ENSVVUG00000003009.1)". The record is from RNAcentral. Lineage: Eukaryota; Metazoa; Chordata; Mammalia; Carnivora; Canidae.